Molecule: unclassified non-coding RNA, 243 nt
Filed under: uncultured Cortinariaceae
Lineage: Eukaryota; Fungi; Basidiomycota; Agaricomycetes; Agaricales; Cortinariaceae
Description: sequence contains ITS1
Source: RNAcentral
UUGAAAUAAAUCUGAUGAGUUGCUGCUGGUUCUUUAGAGGACAUGUGCACACUUGUCAUCUUUAUAUCUCCACCUGUGAACCUUUUGUAGACCUGGGGGAUUAUCUCUCUGAAUUUGCCUUGUAAAUUCAGGUUUGAGGAUUGGUUUUUCUCGUUCCUUGCAUUUUUCAGGUCUAUGUUUGUCAUAUACCCAUGUAUUUUUCUAGAAUGUAAUGAAAUGGGCUUUUGUGCCUAUAAACUUAUA